Molecule: ribosomal RNA, 460 nt
Filed under: uncultured bacterium
Lineage: Bacteria
Description: partial 16S ribosomal RNA
Rfam family: Bacterial small subunit ribosomal RNA
Source: RNAcentral
CCUACGGGAGGCAGCAGUGAGGAAUAUUGGUCAAUGGACGAGAGUCUGAACCAGCCAAGUAGCGUGAAGGAUGACUGCCCUAUGGGUUGUAAACUUCUUUUAUAUGGGAAUAAAAUGUUCCACGUGUGGGAUUUUGUAUGUACCAUAUGAAUAAGGAUCGGCUAACUCCGUGCCAGCAGCCGCGGUAAUACGGAGGCUCCGAGCGUUAUCCGGAUUUAUUGGGUUUAAAGGGAGCGUAGGUGGAUUUGUAAGUCAGUUGUGAAAGUUUGCGGCUCAACCGUAAAAUUGCAGUUGAAACUGGCAGUCUUGAGUACAGUAGAGGUAGGCGGAAUUCGUGGUGUAGCGGUGAAAUGCUUAGAUAUCACGAAGAACUCCGAUUGCGAAGGCAGUUCACUGGACUGCAACUGACACUGAGGCUCGAAAGUGUGGGUAUCAAACAGGAUUAGAUACCCUUGUAGUC